Molecule: RNA transcript, 2280 nt
Organism: Zea mays
Lineage: Eukaryota; Viridiplantae; Streptophyta; Magnoliopsida; Poales; Poaceae
Exons: 12
Source: RefSeq, marked provisional
CCGGGUGGCGUCCCUCGUGGCCCACCCCACCUCCUUCCGAGCUCCGAGGAGCGAUCGGCAGGGCGCGCCUCUGGCCGCUUUGUCGCGACGCGCGUUCGCUCCAAUCCUGUCGCGGCCAUUAAAAGCCUUCCCGGCUUUCCCGCUCAGCUCGUCUCUUCCAGAAACGUACCUCGUCAUCUCUUCGCCUUCGCUACGCAAUUCCGAUCCACGCUGCGGGCCACUUGUGACGACUGGCGGAACCCGCGAGAAACAGAGGCGGGCGAGCGGCGAUCGGAGAUGGCGCCGGAGAAGCCCCGGAAGGAACAGGAGGAGGAGUUGAUGCUGGAGGAUGGAGGCAUCGAGGAGAGCCCGCGCCGCAGCUUCGAGGACUGCGGCGACUCCGAGGAGGACCGCGGGGAGGGCGAUGACGAGGAGGAGCGGGACAGCGACCGCGACGGCGUCGGUUCGACGCGCUCCUUCCUGCCCCAAAAGUGGCCGCAGAGCUACAGGGAAACAACUGACACCUACACAAUCGCUGCAUCACCGAGCUUUGGUUACUUAGGUUCUUCUACAAGCAAAUACUCGCUCCUCGACCUUGGUCGCAGUAUUCUGGGCUCUGACCUGAAGUCACCUCUAAUAUCGGCCAAGGCUGAUUCUGUCAGAAACUUGCCGAAAACCCUUGGUUCAAUGAGAGAUGGGAGAGUCUCGUUUCAAUUGCAACACACGGGAGAAAUCUACAUUAGUCAAGGGUGCAAUGUGACGCAAACAGUCUUCAACGGGAUUAAUGUGCUUGCUGGUGUUGGCCUUCUUUCCACUCCGUUUACAAUUCAUGAAGCUGGAUGGACUGGCCUUGCAGUUCUAGCAUGCUUUGCGAUUGUUUGCUGUUAUACUGGAAUUCUUCUAAAACAUUGUUUUGAGAGCAAAGAUGGUAUCUCAAGUUAUCCAGACAUUGGAGAGGCUGCAUUUGGAAGAAUUGGCCGUGUGUUGAUAUCUAUUAUUUUGUAUACCGAGCUAUAUUCAUACUGUGUGGAAUUCAUCAUUUUGGAGGGUGAUAACCUCACAUCAAUUUUUCCUAAAGCUGGUUUUGAUUGGCUUGGGAUUCAUGUUGAUGGAAAACAUUUUUUCGGAGUGUUAACUGCUAUUUUAGUCUUGCCAACAGUAUGGCUGCGAGAUCUUCGAGUACUCUCGUACCUUUCAGCGGGUGGUGUGAUUGCAACUCUUCUCGUAUUCCUGUCCGUUGGUUUAGUCGGUGUUACCGAUGGUAUAGGCUUCCAUUCAACUGGGAAGGCAGUAAACUGGAGUGGCAUGCCUUUUGCCAUUGGUAUUUAUGGAUUUUGCUACUCCGGGCAUUCGGUAUUUCCAAAUAUCUACCAGUCAAUGUCCGAUAGAUCUAAGUUCCCUAAGGCACUGUUCAUAUGUUUCGCAAUUUGCACAGCAAUAUAUGGCUCUUUUGCUGUCAUUGGCUUUCUCAUGUUUGGAAAGAACACUUUAUCACAAAUCACUUUAAACCUUCCAAAGCAUUCGUUUGCCUCAGAAGUUGCACUAUGGACCACGGUGAUCAACCCUUUCACCAAAUUUGCCUUGUUGUUAAACCCAUUAGCUCGGAGUUUAGAAGAGUUGCGUCCUGAAGGUUUUAUGAACGAAACAUCAUGCGCUAUUAUACUGAGGACUGCCCUUCUUGCAUCAACUGUAUGCAUUGCCUUUCUUCUGCCGUUCUUUGGUCUUGUGAUGUCUCUCAUUGGAUCUCUUCUUAGUAUACUUGUGUUCACAGCCGCGUACAGAGCUAUAUGACAGGACUUUCUGAUAUGCAAUGCGUUGUUAUUUCGUUUGUGGCCUAAGAAAGAGGAAGCAUGGAUGAUAGAUUAAUCGUAUUUUAUUAUGCAAUGCGAUUAAUUAACGAAUGUAUACUUCCCAUAAUCACAGGCAGUCAUAAUGCCACCCUUGUGUUUCCUGAAGAUCGCGCAGAACAAAGCAACUUGUGCACAGGUAAUCGCAAGCAUUUGUAUCGUAAUGUUGGGCGUCAUCAGUGCUGCCCUGGGGACAUACUCCUCCGUGAAAAAGAUUGUAGAAAACUACUAAGCUCUUCGACAAUAAUUGCCUGCCUGCACCAGACUCCACGUAUGGAACUCGAAAUGGUCAGGUUUUACUGUACGACCAAAUUUUUACUAGAACUACCGGAUUUCCUGUACAUUAUUGCUGCUGUUAUUAUUCGGACCACACUAGCCUACUAAAAAGGAACACUUCCAAUAAUGUAAUCUUGCGCACCUUUACCUGAGUUCUUUAUCAUUUAGUUGUACUGUA